This 464-nucleotide ribosomal RNA is filed under the name uncultured bacterium. Its description in RNAcentral is "bacterial SSU rRNA". It matches the Rfam family "Bacterial small subunit ribosomal RNA", at positions 30 to 539 of the family's 1533-position model. The record is from RNAcentral.
CGAACGCUGGCGGCAGGCUUAACACAUGCAAGUCGAACGGUUGUAGCAAUACAGCAGUGGCAGACGGGUGAGUAACACGUGGGAACCUUCCUAGGGGUACGGAACAACUCAGGGAAACUUGAGCUAAUACCGUAUACGUCCGUGAGGAGAAAGAUUUAUCGCCCUUAGACGGGCCCGCGUCGGAUUAGCUAGUUGGUGGGGUAACGGCCUACCAAGGCGACGAUCCGUAGCUGAUCUUAGAGGAUGAUCAGCCACACUGGGACUGAGACACGGCCCAGACUCCUACGGGAGGCAGCAGUGGGGAAUCUUGGACAAUGGGCGCAAGCCUGAUCCAGCCAUGCCGCGUGAGUGAAGAAGGUCUUCGGAUUGUAAAGCUCUUUUGCCAGGGACGAUAAUGACGGUACCUGGAGAAUAAGCCCCGGCAAACUUCGUGCCAGCCGCCGCGGUAAUCUGAUGGCGCGAGG